CACUUGCCAUGUAACUUCCGCCCCUCUCUGCCCUUUUCACUUUCACAGCUCCUCCGUUUCCAUCUUGUAUUUUUCUCCCUCAUCAUUACUCCUUCUCCCACAUCCACCCCACCCACUUCCCACCUCAUUCAUUCUCAUCAGAAGGAAAACAGCCACUGAAUUCAAAUGCCAUAAUCAGUGGUGGCCCCUGCAGGAAACAAAUCAAGCACCGGAGUACUCAGCACUCAACAGCGGAAAGAUUUUCCUUCUGGAGGGAAUAUUUCACAGCUGUUGAAGAAUCAAGGCUUCUGAACCAGCCUGAGUUUACAUGUGCUACCAAGAGAACCAGCCUGAGUUUACAUGUGCUACCAGGAGAACCAGCCUGAGUUUACAUGUGCUACCAGGAGAACCAGCAUUGGUCUGUUUGCCUGUCUCAGGGAUCAGCUGCCCUCGUGGUCACUCUGCUCAGGCAGAGUGGAUCCGAAAUGAAAUGCUUUUUAUCGCUACUUCUCAGCCCUUGAUUAAAUAAUUGUCAACUCUCAUAUGCAGAGUGUAAGAACUUCAGCUUUCUCCAACCCCAGUGGAGCACGUGCCUUUUGUUUUUUCUUCAACCAAACACACAAAGGUGGAAAAUUAAUAAGAGAUUGUAUUUUGCAGUUUGUUGAUAAAACGUCCAGAGGUAAAUCCCCAGACUUUCCAUCAUGGCAGAGCCUUACAUACGUCUGUCAAGCUAGUAAAUCUCCUUAGAGAACUUUUUAAGACCAUGUGUUCCUAAAGCUGGGGCUUUACGGAAUUAUGUCUGGCAUCUAAUUUAUUCUCUUUGUGAACCAAAACAUAGGCCCACUGAGUAUCACAUUGUAUCACCAUUCUCAGUCAUCAUACUAAACACCAGUACCAGAAAAUGAUACCCAGAUCAGAGAAUCUCUGAGGUCAGAGCUAGGAGGUUGUGAAAAGAAAAGAAAAUCUCGAGACCCCAAACUCACUAUACCAAAGGGAAAAGUUAAGCUCAGAAACUGAGUCAUACAAAAAAGAAAAAAUGCCUUUCCUUUUGUUCCUAAACAGAUAGCUGUACAAUAAAAGGCCACAUAUCUCCCCAGGUAGCUUCCCUCACUCUGAUUAUGUAAAUUAAUGGCUUACCUUCACAGGUACAGGACAAAGAAAAGACUAGAAAUCAUCCCUCCUCCUACCUCAAAAUAAAGUAGAUUCUCUAUUUACUUAUCUUAUGUAAAAUGCAGAUUUAUUGAGUGCAAGAUGUAUGUAUAAUUGAUUGUUCCUCUAUGCCUUUCACAUGCAACAUGGAUUUAGUGAGUGCUAAUCAAAGCCUCACAAGAAAUGUGAACAGUUACCUCACUACAUACCCUCCCUUUAAUUUUCUUUCUUCCUUCCCCUCCUGCCUGCUUUUUCUCCUUUAAAUAUUCAAACCCCCAAAACCCUCUUAGGAAAAAAGUACAGGCCAUAGAUCCCACUGAGACUUGUGUCUCCUUUUCUCAGGCAUGUCCUCAAUCUCAGCAAAAUAAACCUCUAAAUGGAUUGACACCUGUCUCAAACACUUUUUGUUUUACAAGAUCAAAGUAAGGUUUGAAAAUAUAACAAAUCAAGUAUCCAAACUCAGCCAAUCCUGAGAUUUGAGAAGCAGGUAAAGUGACAACCAAA
Molecule: long non-coding RNA, 1632 nt
Filed under: Homo sapiens (human)
Lineage: Eukaryota; Metazoa; Chordata; Mammalia; Primates; Hominidae
Description: HSALNT0034891
Source: RNAcentral